UACAGAGACUGCAAGCGUUAUUCGGAUUCACUGGGCGUAAAGGGUGCGCAGGCGGCCGUGUGUGUGAGGCGUGAAAGCCCGGGGCUUAACCCCGGAAUUGCACCGCAAACUACAUGGCUAGAGCAUUGGAGAGGGUAGCGGAAUUCACGGUGUAGCAGUGAAAUGCGUAGAUAUCGUGAGGAACACCAGAGGCGAAGGCGGCUACCUGGACAAUUGCUGACGCUCAGGCACGAAAGCGUGGGGAGCAAAAGGG
This 253-nucleotide ribosomal RNA is filed under the name uncultured bacterium. RNAcentral describes it as "partial 16S ribosomal RNA". It matches the Rfam family "Bacterial small subunit ribosomal RNA", at positions 524 to 776 of the family's 1533-position model. The record is from RNAcentral.